GCCAUAUACAGAAUAUCUUUGUUAAAAUACAUAUAAUUUAGUGCCUCAAUUAUCUUAAUUCCUUAUAGAUCACCUUAUAUGUCUACAAAAUAAUGUUACAGGAAUGCUCAUCUUAUUUGUUUCCAACUACCAGAAACAUCAAGCAAAAAUCCACUUUUUUAUGUGCAAUGAAAUGGAAUGCCCCUACAUAAGAUGAUUAACAAGUAAUUAAUUUUUGAUUACUUAAUUAAUUAUGUGUUCAAAACAUGCAUUGAAUUUGCUUCUCUGGUACCAUGCCUAGCCAUCGCCUAGUCCCAUAGUUAAUCUACUGUACAUACUUGAACCCCGUAUUCAACACCAACAUUAUUGGUAGUGAAUACGGGGCCUCCCUGAUGAUUUCCUGCUUCCUUCGCGGUUAUGCUACUGCUCUGCCUCUGAGCUAGAUAUAUGCUGUAGUUUGAACCUACAGUACCAGAGUAAUCUGUGGUGAAAAGCUACACAAAUCUGUCUACCUGGUUUUCCUACAAAGCUAAGAUCCAGAACAGUAUGUCCUGUGCGGAGAGAUCAAGCCUGCAAACUGCCAUGAAGCAUAUAGCAGUGUUGGUUCUCAUUUCAUUUGCAGCACUCCUUUUGCACUUCUUAACUUUUCAAACAAUUAAUUUUCAUAAAUGCAGCUCAAAUACAGUAGCUGUCAUUUUCUUGUCCUUUUUUGGCCCUGGCCUGGCUUUUCUGGUCUUAGCAGUUGGUUUGCAAAAACGACGCAUUUUUUGUAACCUGCCAUCCACACUUCUGUGGGGUCCUGGACAAACAUUCUUCUGGAAGAGUAUCUUUAUGUCUGUCUACCCCUCCUUGUACUGGGUGGCCAUGCUGAUGAUAGACGGUCAAUACUACAGGGGAUACUCAAUGUGCAAGGAACCUGACAGAAGAGAUUAUUUUGAUUUUGGACAUGAUAAGGUAGAAGAAUUUCAUGUUAAAUCUCAGAUGAUAGGAUUGAUUCUGAUCCUGCUCCUUGCUUCCCUGGUUCUGCUGUACUUCAUCAUUGAGCGCUGCUGCAGGCCUGUGGCCUGGCGGCUGGAGGAACAACGUGCACUUGCCCUCCAGAAAGAGCAAGAUGAGUGUGUUGCGAGGUUUGCCCUGGCCUUGGCCAAGCGUACAGUUGCCCGGCAGGAAGAACACCUCUACGAAACCCCUCUCCAACAGCAGCCUAACAUUGCAGGUCCUGCAAUACCGGCCAGUGUACCCAGAAGCCUUACCGGAUAUGAUGUCGUCCACAUAAUCAACCACCCACCAGUUAAUACACUUUAUUGCUAAAAUGAAUGAUCAAAACAAUUAAACAAAUGAGUUCUA
Long non-coding RNA from Anguilla rostrata (American eel), 1326 nucleotides. RefSeq lists it as uncharacterized. NCBI's taxonomy places the organism in Eukaryota, Metazoa, Chordata, Actinopteri, Anguilliformes, Anguillidae. The transcript is spliced from 2 exons. The record is from RefSeq and is a predicted model, not a curated record.